GACGAACGCUGGCGGCGUGCUUAACACAUGCAAGUCGAACGGAAAGGCCCUGCUUUUGUGGGGUUCUCGAGUGGCGAACGGGUGAGUAACACGUGAGUAACCUGCCCUUGACUUUGGGAUAACUUCAGGAAACUGGGGCUAAUACCGGAUAGGAGCUCCUGCUGCAUGUUGGGGGUUGGAAAGUUUCGGCGGUUGGGGAUGGACUCGCGGCUUAUCAGCUUGUUGGUGGGGUAGUGGCUUACCAAGGCUUUGACGGGUAGCCGGCCUGAGAGGUGGACCGGCGACAAGGGGACUGAGAGACGGACCAGAAGCCUACGGGAGGCAGCAGGGGGGAAUAUGGCACAAUGGGCGGAAGCGUGAUGCAGCAACGCCGCGUGCGGGAUGACGGGCUUCGGGUUGUAAACCGCUUUCGCCUGUGACGAAGCGUGAGUGACGGUAAUGGGUAAAGAAGCACCGGCUAACUACGUG
Molecule: ribosomal RNA, 468 nt
Filed under: uncultured bacterium
Lineage: Bacteria
Description: partial 16S ribosomal RNA
Rfam family: Bacterial small subunit ribosomal RNA
Source: RNAcentral